GCCUCGUUAGCGCAGUAGGCAGCGCGUCAGUCUCAUAAUCUGAAAUCAGAAAUCUGAAGGUCGUGAGUUCGAUCCUCACACGGGGCA
RNAcentral lists this transfer RNA (87 nucleotides) under Desmophyllum pertusum. Its description in RNAcentral is "Lophelia pertusa tRNA". It matches the Rfam family "tRNA". From Rfam's summary of the family: Transfer RNA (tRNA) molecules are approximately 80 nucleotides in length. Their secondary structure includes four short double-helical elements and three loops (D, anti-codon, and T loops). Lineage: Eukaryota; Metazoa; Cnidaria; Anthozoa; Scleractinia; Caryophylliidae. The record is from Rfam by way of RNAcentral.